RNAcentral lists this ribosomal RNA (594 nucleotides) under uncultured Bacteroidota bacterium. RNAcentral's name for it is "bacterial SSU rRNA". It matches the Rfam family "Bacterial small subunit ribosomal RNA", at positions 122 to 715 of the family's 1533-position model. The record is from RNAcentral. Lineage: Bacteria; Pseudomonadati; Bacteroidota.
CAACCUGCCGACAACACUGGGAUAGCCUUUCGAAAGAAAGAUUAAUACCGGAUGGUAUAGUUUUCCCGCAUGGGAUGAUUAUUAAAGAAUUUCGGUUGUCGAUGGGGAUGCGUUCCAUUAGGCAGUUGGCGGGGUAACGGCCCACCAAACCUACGAUGGAUAGGGGUUCUGAGAGGAAGGUCCCCCACAUUGGAACUGAGACACGGUCCAAACUCCUACGGGAGGCAGCAGUGAGGAAUAUUGGUCAAUGGACGAGAGUCUGAACCAGCCAAGUAGCGUGAAGGAUGACUGCCCUAUGGGUUGUAAACUUCUUUUAUACGGGAAUAAAGUGAGCCACGUGUGGCUUUUUGUAUGUACCGUAUGAAUAAGGAUCGGCUAACUCCGUGCCAGCAGCCGCGGUAAUACGGAGGAUCCGAGCGUUAUCCGGAUUUAUUGGGUUUAAAGGGAGCGUAGGCGGGUUGUUAAGUCAGUUGUGAAAGUUUGCGGCUCAACCGUAAAAUUGCAGUUGAUACUGGCGACCUUGAGUGCAACAGANGUAGGCGGAAUUCGUGGUGUAGCGGUGAAAUGCUUAGAUAUCACGAAGAACUCCGAUUG